Molecule: long non-coding RNA, 1925 nt
Filed under: Rattus norvegicus (Norway rat)
Lineage: Eukaryota; Metazoa; Chordata; Mammalia; Rodentia; Muridae
Description: long non-coding RNA NONRATT000537
Source: RNAcentral
UCAGCGUCACGGGUGCGAGAGUUGGCUCGGCUCUACAGCGAGCGGAUCCAGCAGAUGCAGCGAGCUGAGACUAGGGCAUCCACCAAUGCACCCCGCCGCAGACCUCGAGUCCUGGCCCAACCCCAGCCAUGCCCUUGCCCACCCCAGGAAGAGGCUGAACCAGGAGCCCUGCCUGCAUUUGGACAUGUGCUUGUAUGUGAGCUGGCCUUCCCACUGAACUGUGCCCAGGAGUCUGUCCCUCUGGGCCCUGCUGCUCUGGUUCAAGCUGCCACACCUUUGUGUACACAAGGAGAUGACCUGAGUGGCCAGAGUCUGACUGUUUCAGAUUUGCCCAAGCAAGGCCAUCUGAGUAAUAACUGCAUUCCACCUCCUGUCCCUUUGCCUGGGCAAAGCAACUUCCAGAGCCUCCAGGUUCCAUCUGCAUCCCUUUUGCCCAAGCAAGAUCCUCCAGAUGUUCAGCUCCCAACUGCCUCAACCUUGCCUGAUACAGGUCAGCUGCAAGUUCCAGCUGCGGCUCCUUCAACUGAGCAUAGAAACUAUGUGGAGAUCCAGGUUCAGUCCACCACCACUUCCCUUCCUGGCCAAGAGUGUCCGGCAGACUUUCAGAUGCCAACCACUGCGGCAUUGCCCAGGCAAGAAGGUCAUGAAGACAGCCGAAGCCCAAACAGUGCUCCAGGAGCCGAGCAAAGAGAUGUCGGCGUCGAUCAGGGCCCCACUGCUGUUGAUGGCCAAGCUGUCAGCCCUCUGCCAGCGUGCACAAGCAGCCCUGACCAUCAUCAGAUCCCAGCCACUCCGCUGCCAUUGUCACCUGACCUCCCAGACAUGGAGGGUGCUGGUGCCUUACCUCUGCCCGCACAGCAAGGUCAUCCAGACUGCUGCGUCCCAUGCGACCCUCUACCAUCUCUGCCCCAAGACGUUCAGACGCCAACGGUCAUCCCCAUGUCCCAGCCUCAAGGCCUUACAGACGUCAGGGCCAAAGUGCCCCCGUCUUUCCCCACACAGGAGGAAGCUCCAGAGUUUCUGGGUCCAGAGCCCAGCCUCACAGACACCCCAGCUCCCAGACUCUUACCUUCAUCAGGCCAACAGAACACCACAGAUGGCCAUGUUUCAACAGCUGCCGUGCCUUGCCCUGAACAAGGAUGCCCUCAAGAUAUUCAAGGCCUAAUAACUUCCCCGGUCCAGACGACCAUGGAGCUACCCAAACCAAGGGGUUUAGUCUCUCGGGUUGCCACUUCAGAGUCUCUGGACUUGACCCCGCCACAUAGCCCCUCGCUGUCCACUCGCCAGCUCCUGGGACCCAGCGCAGCUGCCCUCUCAAGGUACCUGGCAGCUUCGUACAUCAGCCAGAGCUUGGCUCGGCGCCAGGGCCCUGGGGGAGAGGGCAUGGCAGCCUCCCAGGGUCACUGGUCCUCCUCUGCCCCCACAUCACGGGCACCUUCACCCCCACCUCAGCCCCAGCCCCCAGCUCCUCCAGCUAGGAGGCUCAGCUAUGCCACCACAGUGAGCAUUCAGGUAGGAGGUGGUGGGAGGCUACGACCAGCUAGAGCUCAGGUCCGGCUAAACCACCCUGCUCUCUUGGCAGCCCCCCACCCAGGAGCCUUCGGGCCUUCCCAGGGCCCAGAAGGCUCCUGAUACUACUUUUCAUAUGUAAGCCUGGACACUGGCUUCAAGAACAUUCACCAGGUGCCACCCAUCCCUAUGACAUCCAGAGUCUGGACAUGGGUCCAGAAAUGGCUGUAGCUUUCUAGCUCCAGGAAUCUGCCCACAGAUGGCCCUCCUGAGGGCGUGGUUAUUUUGUUAAUUUUAUAAAAUGCUGUGGUUUUGACUUUCUUGAGGUCCUUCUCUGCCCCCAUGAGUGGGUGAAGACACCAUGAAUGGGAAGGGCUGAUGUAGGCCAGAAUGUCGAAGCUCUAAGAACAUUUGCC